UCUGAGUUUUCUCACACGCUCCCCAGGAACCAAACUCCCAAACAGCCCUACCCAUCACCUUCGCCGCUGACUCGCUGCCUCUUUGCCGGCGCCGACUCGCCGCCUCUUUGCCGGCGCCGACACACCGUCUCUUCAGACUUCAGUCUUCAUCAUCGUCGCCGUCUGGAACUUGUUCGAUCAAAAACAACUCUGAAACCCUAACGACUCUCUUCCUCUAUUUCUUUCUUCAUCAUCACUGAACCAUCUUCUCCAGAGUCCAGACCCAUCUCGUAUUUUGGAGACACCCACAGUAGAGUUUGUCCUACAUAUAUCAGUCAAGACCGUGUUAAUUUCUCAGGUUAUCCAGAGAAGGUUCAGUUCAAAGAUUCAUUGCAAAAAGAGCACCUGCUCGUGAUAUUACAAAGCUUAAUAAAAAACAAAAUUAAGUAGUAGAACUUCUACUACAUAUGUUGUACUUAUAACUGAUGCUUAAAUAUUGCUUGGGACUCAUUCUUUGUUAUAAGUUGGAAAGCUCGGCAAUUGAAUCAUUCUCUUUGAUGCUCUAGAUAUGAAUUGUCAAGUAUCUCAACAUUGUCAAGUUUUCUCAGCAGAGUUGCUUUGCUUGAUGGAUUGAAUGGUUGAGACCCAACAUGAGAACUUUUUGGCAACUCAAUUUUUACGAACAGGCUACAUAUACUGAUUGAGCUGAUGAAAAAGUUUCAAUGUGCCACCCUGGAGAGAAGGAAAAGUAAUUAAAAUGGAAGUAUGUAUCCAAGAUCAUUCUCAAACAGAAGACCGUAUGUCCAUAAAAUUUUUAUGUAAUAUUCAUAAUCACCAACUUGCUCGUCGAAGUAAUUUUUUCGUUGACAAAUUUACGGUAUCCUAUAGCUGAAUUGUCUGCUGUGAACUUAAUCGAAAAGGAGUCUUGGUCCUUUUCAUCAAUUAUCAGGAUAGCGAACAAUCCCUUGGCCUGAAGCCGCUUCACGGUACAUCUCAAAGAUACUACCGGUGUCAUAGUUACUACCAUCUUCAAGACAAAUGCCAAAAAAAAAACAUCUCCAUCAACAGCAUGCAACAGGAAGGGAAAAGUCGGCAUAUAUACCAUCUCUCUCAGUAAUGUUUGAGCGACCAAGAAAACUUCAUUUGCCUCAAAAAGUUGCAAAUUCCCAGGGUGUUACAAGACCGUACAACAGUAUAUGGUUACUACUCUCGUAGAUGAGCUUAAAAACAUGUAGCAGGCAUGACUCUUCUGACUUUUGGAAGAAUUUUGGACAGAAGCUUUUUUGGGCAGUCUAUUUAUGUAGUUGUGUUGGGCACAUUAAUUUUAUAUUUUUUUUCUAAUAUAUCUCAAGCCAAUUGAUGCAUCGUUUGCUUUAA
Molecule: long non-coding RNA, 1356 nt
Organism: Asparagus officinalis (garden asparagus)
Lineage: Eukaryota; Viridiplantae; Streptophyta; Magnoliopsida; Asparagales; Asparagaceae
Exons: 7
Source: RefSeq, a predicted model, not a curated record